This is a long non-coding RNA of Brassica napus (rape), 3173 nucleotides long. RefSeq lists it as uncharacterized. The record is from RefSeq and is a predicted model, not a curated record. NCBI's taxonomy places the organism in Eukaryota, Viridiplantae, Streptophyta, Magnoliopsida, Brassicales, Brassicaceae. The transcript is spliced from 6 exons.
AUUAUACAAAGAUUUAUCAUGGGUAUAUAACACAAACAAAACUUUCUUGUAUAUUCUAUCUUAGUUAGAAUUCGUUAGGUUAUAUUCUAUCAAGAUAUUGUUAGUAUACAUGUAGCUUUAUUACAACUUAUAGCCACGACUCUAUGAUUUGAUUUUUCUUGUUUAUGUUUCAUAACUUGUUCUGCUUUUUACCUUAUGUUACGCCUUCGGAAGAAUAAACUUUCCACCCUCUCUACAUUGUUUUGCACAACAUAGGAUACAUAUUAUAACCAAAUCACGAAAAAUAUGAAAAUUUCCAUAUUUCAGUUAAUAUAUUUCCUAAAUCUAUACAAAAUCAAGACAAAAUCAACCCUAAAUCUCGCACAAUAUCUUCUCGUCCACGUAAAAAAUCAUCAAAACUGCUUUUUCCUUCACUCGAACCCGAGUUAUACAAGAGAAAACUUCACACACAAACAACUAGACCACACAUGAUUCACGCUACUUUGAUAUGCAUACUAGAUUAUAUACUAUCAAGUAUAAUAAAAAUCUUUAAACUAAUCAUUGAUUAAUCGACGAUUAAUUUCUGAGUUAUUGUAUAUAUUGAAUUUUCAUAUAACAGGGUCAAAAGUGCACAUUUGGAAGUUUAAGACGAAAUCAUAAGGAUAUUUCUGUAAAUUUGGAAGAUUGGGGCAAAUAUUAAAAUAAUAGAAAAUUCAGGGACCAAUGUUGAGUAAUGAAAAUACUGGCUGGUCUAGAUUACGCAAUUGAAAGUUCUGGAAUUAAUUCGAGGAGCAAUAUGUACAAACAUAAAGUUAUGGGACAAAUCUGUGAUUAGUCAACAAAUUUGAGGACCUAUCUUGCAAAAUUACACAAACUGGCCAUUGUUGCUCUUCGACAAGCUUUCCUUCGAUCUGCGACGGUAAAGGCUGAUUCCGACGUAACAGAGACAGUGGAGUGAAGUAGAGAGCAUGGCGAGAUUGAAGCCUUUGGAAAUGAAACGGAGGAGUGACAUCGCGAGUUGACGCCGUGGAGGAAGCUUGGUCGCAGCGAUUGGAACAGAGCAUGACCACGAAGUCGACAUAGAGCAGAGCACGGUGGUGAGGAGCUAAAGAAAACGAUUAGAGGUCGGGAUGAGCCAUACCUCUUUCCUGGAUUUCAUUUUUUUUCCUUCCGUUUUUGCUCUCUUUUUUCAAAACAAAUCAAUUACAAAAUAUUAAUAUUAAUUAGGUUUAUUGAAGGGUAUAAUGGUAUUAAAGGAAAUAUGAAUCCUAUUAAUAACCUAAAUAAUCUUCUACAAGUUUUAUUGGAACAAAUCUAAGUUGAGAGUGUUUUUUUUCUUCUUUUUUUUCCAAUUUUCCCUUAUAUUUAUUAGCUAUGUUGUUUUUCUUUCACAACAUAGCCAUGAUUAUAUUUACUAGCUAUGUAAGUAAUAUACUUAAACAUUUUAUAAGAUCGUUAGUUUUGCAAAACUGAUGAAGUGGGUGCCAAUACCCGACGUCUUUUUGGGCGAAAAAAUAGUGUAAGUGGAAGCGAAAUGAUACCCGACGUCUUAACAUCUAUCUAUAACAAUAAACUUGACUUGCUUCUCUCCUCCUGCGUCCACAUCAUCAAGAAAGGAGGGGACAAAUCAUGCCACGUGUCUUUGAUUUUUUAACUAUCUCAAAAUGCUUUCUCGAUGAAGAUUGUUUACCUGAUUUAUGCAAUGGGCUUUUAUACUCUCUAAAGUUGGCCCAUAAGUUAUUAGGGUACCUUUCUUGUCGAUGAUAGAAUAGCAGAAAAAAACCACCUGACCCUUCAGAUGACACAGCCUCCGGAUCAUGCUUGCGUAACGGCUAUAGUUAUCAUUUAUCUGCUACAUUAAUCCAACCAUUUACCUCUUUUGCACCACUCAUCCCUCUCUCUCUCUCUUCUUCCUUCGCUUAUUAACUUCAUCAACUUCUGCCGAUUUCAUAUCCGAUGGAAUCGACGGUAGAAGUCUUGGCUGCUCCGGAUCGGUUAUCAAGACGGUGGUCUCGGAGAGAAAUAGGAAGCUUGUGAACAUACUUAUGGGGUUCAUGCCGUGUACUUAGACGGCGCUUGGUAACGUGUUUUUGAUUUUGGUUUAUGGGUUUCUCAUGUUCACGGCGGUAACAUAUCUAUCUGCCGGAAGUGAGCUUCUUCUCGAGAUUGGCCCUUGAAUCGUCGGUGGUUUGUUUCUUCCCAUGGUCGGAGUACUCCCUGAUGCUAUGCUUAUUAUGGAUAGGUGAAAGUCUCUGUGGGAAUGGGUUUGCUCGCUGGCUCUACCGUUACGCUUCUUUCUAUUAUCUGGAGAACUUGCAAAGUUGUUGGCAAGUGUAACAUUCGUGAUACUAUUGCUGUAAACAACCAAGACACUAGAACCUUCCAUCUUAAAGAUUCUGGUGUUAGUGUUGAUGUUUGGACCAUGUGCUUAUUCAUCGUAGUUUUCCCUCUCACUUCAUCUACAUUUCUAAUCUGACAUAACAAGAAAGAGAAUGCAGUGGUUGAGUUUGUGUGGGUGGUGAGCGCGAAAGAAAAAUUUGUAGCAGAAACGUUGAAACAUCUGACCAUGGAGAUCAUUGGUGCUAGGAGGAAGAAACUUUAUGAAGCAACAGUGUGGGUUAAGCCAAGGAUGAACUUCAAGGAGUUAUGCCGGUGAUAAUGCCCCUGCCAUUACUCCCUCCUAACUUGGCUGCACAUAAGAUGAUCAUAAAUCUUGGAGGGAAGUUCCACGAGAUGAUUCAGUACAAUCCUUUUCUGAUCAUGCUGUCAAGAGCAUCCAACACAGAUUUAACUCAUUGUUACUUUCGUCAAGUUCCCCUUAUGCCGUUGUCUCUGGCUCUGAUGUGCUGUGUGCUUUGGUGUUGUACGGGAGUGGUGCUUUGAGAUUAAACCUAAACAACUCCACUUCUCAUGUUGUUGGUGGUGUGCAGGUCAAUAAAAAGUGUUCCAAAUGUAGGUGGCUUCUCUCCCACCAACACACUUCCACCAAAAAGUGAGAAUGCACCUAAGAAAGUACAAAUAGUUUAAUUCCAGGCAGAUGCGUUACUAGAUCACAAUUUUUGCUUCGUAAAUAAUGCUUUAUCAACCCUUUUUAAAUUAAUAAUUUCUCAUCAUGUCCUUUGUGUUUAGUCUUUCAAUGUAAGCACAUUUGGUAUUCAUAAUUUUACCGGGUCACAAUUGUUAAGAAACUUUCA